Molecule: long non-coding RNA, 1107 nt
Organism: Alosa sapidissima (American shad)
Lineage: Eukaryota; Metazoa; Chordata; Actinopteri; Clupeiformes; Clupeidae
Exons: 5
Source: RefSeq, a predicted model, not a curated record
CACGUGCCAGCUGGCAAAUUCAACCUACGUUUCAUAGUAAUGAAACUCAACAAUGGUGCUGAGGUGGGCUAGUAUGGCGGUGUGAUGGACAUCAACUCUUCCUAUCUGGUGCCAGAGGACGCCACCCAUUUCCACAAGACUCUGAAAGAUAUGUGUGACAAACACGAUGCCAGCUAAUACCCACACUUCAAGAAGUGGUGUGACGAGUACUUCUUCAUCCCACAUUGAGGAGAAACUCGGGGGCUUGGGGGAAUCUUUUUCGAUAAUUUGACUUCUGAGGAGGAGGGAAACUUCAGCUUCCUAGAAUCCUGUGCGAACACCAUCCUCCCAGCCUACAGUACCUUCCAAUUCUAAAGGGCCGCAUGUGUGAUACCUAUACUGACCAGGAGAUAGCAUGGAAACAACUUCGAAAUGGCAGGUACACAGAGUUCAAUCUGAUGUAUGAUAAAGGCUUGAAGUUUGGUCUCCAGCUUCCAGGAUUCCAGAUGGAGACCCUGUUUGCCUCUCAGCCCCCUACAGCCUUGUGGGGCUACAGGUCAGACCCUGAGCCAGGUAGCAGAGAGGAUGAGCUGGUGCAGGUGCUGCGCUGUCCUCAGGAGUGGGCCUGAAAACAAUCACAUUCCUGCUGCCAUGGUUACUGUACGUUUACCAUGCCAACCACACAGCUAUACUGAAAUGUCACAGCUUAAUGGUUAUGGUUAUUGUAUUUAGCAGACACUUUUUUUUACUGGGUGAACAGUUUUCACCUAGUAAAACACAAUUUGCUGAUCUAAUUGAUUCUUUUGCAAAACUCUAAACAUAUUCUCGAGCAAUAAAACACAUCGUGAUGCACUUGACCAUAAUGGUAACCACAAGUGGCAAAAUGCAUUUACUGUAUUGUAAACAAUGAACAUUUCUCCUGGAUCUAUAUACCAUGCCCUGAACACUGAGCACCUUUGCAUUUUUAAUGUAGUGUGUACUGACUGCUCAGUAGUGUUUUCAGUUUGAUUGCUUUGUGAAUUAUCUAAAGACAUAGUUUGGUUUUGAGCACAGGUAAAACUGUUUUGAGACUGAUAGUUCAGUUUUGCAAGAAGUGACAGAGGUUCUGUGAAUGUAGUUUGAGAAUGG